Molecule: ribosomal RNA, 449 nt
Filed under: uncultured prokaryote
Description: bacterial SSU rRNA
Rfam family: Bacterial small subunit ribosomal RNA
Source: RNAcentral
UGGGGAAUCUUGCGCAAUGCGCGAAAGCGUGACGCAGCAACACCGCGUGAGGGAAGACGGCCUUCGGGUUGUAAACCUCUUUCAGUUGGGACGAAGGCCAGGCAGUGAACAGCUGUCCUGGCUGACGGUACCUUCACAAGAAGCCCCGGCUAACUACGUGCCAGCAGCCGCGGUAAUACGUAGGGGGCAAGCGUUGUCCGGAAUCAUUGGGCGUAAAGCGCGCGUAGGCGGCCCGGUAAGUCCGCUCUGAAAGUCGAGGGCUCAACCCUCGGAUGCGGGUGGAUACUGCCGGGCUAGAGUCCGGAAGAGGCAAGUGGAAUUCCUGGUGUAGCGGUGGAAUGCGCAGAUAUCAGGAGGAACACCCAUAGCGAAGGCAGCUUGCUGGGACGGUACUGACGCUAAGGCGCGAAAGCGUGGGGAGCGAACAGGAUUAGAUACCCCCGUAGUCC